RNAcentral lists this ribosomal RNA (433 nucleotides) under uncultured bacterium. Its description in RNAcentral is "bacterial SSU rRNA". It matches the Rfam family "Bacterial small subunit ribosomal RNA", at positions 29 to 507 of the family's 1533-position model. The record is from RNAcentral.
AACGAACGCUGGCGGCAGGCCUAACACAUGUAAGUCGAGCGAGGGAGCAAUCCCUAGCGGCGGACGGGUGAGUAACGCGUGGGAACGUGCCCCUUGGUACGGAAUAGCCCCGGGAAACUGGGAGUAAUACCGUAUGUGGUCGAGAGACGAAAGAUUUAUCGCCAAGGGAUCGGCCCGCGUUGGAUUAGGUAGUUGGUGGGGUAAUGGCCUACCAAGCCGACGAUCCAUAGCUGGUUUGAGAGGAUGAUCAGCCACACUGGGACUGAGACACGGCCCAGACUCCUACGGGAGGCAGCAGUGGGGAAUCUUAGACAAUGGGGGAAACCCUGAUCUAGCCAUGCCGCGUGAGCGAUGAAGGCCUUAGGGUUGUAAAGCUCUUUCGUGGGGGAAGAUAAUGACUGUACCCCAAGAAGAAGCCCCGGCUAACUCCGUG